UACGAGGGGUCCAAGCGUUGUUCGGAAUCACUGGGCGUAAAGCGGGUGUAGGUGGCUAAGCAAGUCACAUGUGAAAGCCCUGGGCUCAACCCAGGAAGUGCAUGUGAUACUACUUAGCUUGAGUACGGGAGAGGAAAGCAGAAUUUCUGGUGUAGUGGUGAAAUACGUAGAUAUCAGAAGGAAUAUCGGAGGCGAAGGCGGCUUUCUGGCCCAGUACUGACACUCAGACCCGAAAGCAUGGGUAGCAAACAGG
RNAcentral lists this ribosomal RNA (253 nucleotides) under uncultured bacterium. RNAcentral describes it as "partial 16S ribosomal RNA". It matches the Rfam family "Bacterial small subunit ribosomal RNA", at positions 524 to 776 of the family's 1533-position model. The record is from RNAcentral.